UAAGUGACUAAGACGUACUUGUACUAGAUUGAGAUUUUAACACGAAGUGAGUGGCGAACGGGUGAGUAACACGUGGGUAACCUGCCCAGAAGUAGGGGAUAACACCUGGAAACAGAUGCUAAUACCGUAUAACAGAGAAAACCGCAUGGUUUUCUUUUAAAAGAUGGCUCUGCUAUCACUUCUGGAUGGACCCGCGGCGUAUUAGCUAGUUGGUGAGGUAAAGGCUCACCAAGGCAGUGAUACGUAGCCGACCUGAGAGGGUAAUCGGCCACAUUGGGACUGAGACACGGCCCAGACUCCUACGGGAGGCAGCAGUAAGGAAUCUUCCACAAUGGACGCAAGUCUGAUGGAGCAACGCCCCGUGAGUGAAGAAGGGUUUCGGCUCGUAAAGCUCUGUUGUUAAAGAAGAACGUGGGUAAGAGUAACUGUUUACCCAGUGACGGUAUUUAACCAGAAAGCCACGGCUAACUACGUGCCAGCAGCCGCGGUAAUACGUAGGUGGCAAGCGUUAUCCGGAUUUAUUGGGCGUAAAGCGAGCGCAGGCGGUCUUUUAAGUCUAAUGUGAAAGCCUUCGGCUCAACCGAAGAAGUGCAUUGGAAACUGGGAGACUUGAGUGCACAACAGGACAGUGCAACUCCCUGUGUAGCGGUGUAA
This 654-nucleotide ribosomal RNA is filed under the name Pediococcus pentosaceus. RNAcentral describes it as "bacterial SSU rRNA". It matches the Rfam family "Bacterial small subunit ribosomal RNA", at positions 43 to 686 of the family's 1533-position model. Lineage: Bacteria; Bacillati; Bacillota; Bacilli; Lactobacillales; Lactobacillaceae. The record is from RNAcentral.